GGGUUGUGAGGUUAAGCGACUAAGCGUACACGGUGGAUGCCCUGGCAGUCAGAGGCGAUGAAGGACGUGCUAAUCUGCGAAAAGCGUCGGUAAGGUGAUAUGAACCGUUAUAACCGGCGAUGUCCGAAUGGGGAAACCCAGUGCAAUUCGUUGCACUAUCGUUAACUGAAUACAUAGGUUAACGAGGCGAACCGGGGGAACUGAAACAUCUAAGUACCCCGAGGAAAAGAAAUCAACCGAGAUUCCCCCAGUAGCGGCGAGCGAACGGGGAGCAGCCCAGAGUCUGAAUCAGCUUGUGUGUUAGUGGAACGGUCUGGAAAGUCCGACGGUACAGGGUGAUAGUCCCGUACACCAAAAUGCACAGGUUGUGAACUCGAAGAGUAGGGCGGGACACGUGGUAUCCUGUCUGAAUAUGGGGGGACCAUCCUCCAAGGCUAAAUACUCCUGACUGACCGAUAGUGAACCAGUACCGUGAGGGAAAGGCGAAAAGAACCCCGGCGAGGGGAGUGAAAAAGAACCUGAAACCGUGUACGUACAAGCAGUGGGAGCACCUUUAUGGUGUGACUGCGUACCUUUUGUAUAAUGGGUCAGCGACUUAUAUUCUGUAGCAAGGUUAACCGUAUAGGGGAGCCGCAGGGAAACCGAGUCUUAACUGGGCGUUAAGUUGCAGGGUAUAGACCCGAAACCCGGUGAUCUAGCCAUGGGCAGGUUGAAGGUUGGGUAACACUAACUGGAGGACCGAACCGACUAAUGUUGAAAAAUUAGCGGAUGACUUGUGGCUGGGGGUGAAAGGCCAAUCAAACCGGGAGAUAGCUGGUUCUCCCCGAAAGCUAUUUAGGUAGCGCCUCGUGAACUCAUCUUCGGGGGUAGAGCACUGUUUCGGCUAGGGGGUCAUCCCGACUUACCAACCCGAUGCAAACUACGAAUACCGAAGAAUGUUAUCACGGGAGACACACGGCGGGUGCUAACGUCCGUCGUGAAGAGGGAAACAACCCAGACCGCCAGCUAAGGUCCCAAAGUCAUGGUUAAGUGGGAAACGAUGUGGGAAGGCACAGACAGCCAGGAUGUUGGCUUAGAAGCAGCCAUCAUUUAAAGAAAGCGUAAUAGCUCACUGGUCGAGUCGGCCUGCGCGGAAGAUGUAACGGGGCUAAACCAUGCACCGAAGCUGCGGCAGCGACACGAUGUGUUGUUGGGUAGGGGAGCGUUCUGUAAGCCUGCGAAGGUGACCUGUGAGGGUUGCUGGAGGUAUCAGAAGUGCGAAUGCUGACAUAAGUAACGAUAAAGCGGGUGAAAAGCCCGCUCGCCGGAAGACCAAGGGUUCCUGUCCAACGUUAAUCGGGGCAGGGUGAGUCGACCCCUAAGGCGAGGCCGAAAGGCGUAGUCGAUGGGAAACAGGUUAAUAUUCCUGUACUUGGUGUUACUGCGAAGGGGGGACGGAGAAGGCUAUGUUAGCCGGGCGACGGUUGUCCCGGUUUAAGCAUGUAGGCUGGUUAUCCAGGCAAAUCCGGAUAAUCAAGGCUGAGGUGUGAUGACGAGGCACUACGGUGCUGAAGUAACAAAUGCCCUGCUUCCAGGAAAAGCCUCUAAGCAUCAGGUAACAUCAAAUCGUACCCCAAACCGACACAGGUGGUCAGGUAGAGAAUACCAAGGCGCUUGAGAGAACUCGGGUGAAGGAACUAGGCAAAAUGGUGCCGUAACUUCGGGAGAAGGCACGCUGGUGUGUAGGUGAAGUCCCUGCGGAUGGAGCUGAGACCAGUCGAAGAUACCAGCUGGCUGCAACUGUUUAUUAAAAACACAGCACUGUGCAAACACGAAAGUGGACGUAUACGGUGUGACGCCUGCCCGGUGCCGGAAGGUUAAUUGAUGGGGUUAUCCGUAAGGAGAAGCUCUUGAUCGAAGCCCCGGUAAACGGCGGCCGUAACUAUAACGGUCCUAAGGUAGCGAAAUUCCUUGUCGGGUAAGUUCCGACCUGCACGAAUGGCGUAAUGAUGGCCAGGCUGUCUCCACCCGAGACUCAGUGAAAUUGAACUCGCUGUGAAGAUGCAGUGUACCCGCGGCAAGACGGAAAGACCCCGUGAACCUUUACUAUAGCUUGACACUGAACAUUGAGCCUUGAUGUGUAGGAUAGGUGGGAGGCUUUGAAGCGUGGACGCCAGUCUGCGUGGAGCCAACCUUGAAAUACCACCCUUUAAUGUUUGAUGUUCUAACGUGGGCCCCUGACCGGGGUUGCGGACAGUGUCUGGUGGGUAGUUUGACUGGGGCGGUCUCCUCCCAAAGCGUAACGGAGGAGCACGAAGGUUAGCUAAUCCUGGUCGGACAUCAGGAGGUUAGUGCAAUGGCAUAAGCUAGCUUGACUGCGAGCGUGACGGCGCGAGCAGGUGCGAAAGCAGGUCAUAGUGAUCCGGUGGUUCUGAAUGGAAGGGCCAUCGCUCAACGGAUAAAAGGUACUCCGGGGAUAACAGGCUGAUACCGCCCAAGAGUUCAUAUCGACGGCGGUGUUUGGCACCUCGAUGUCGGCUCAUCACAUCCUGGGGCUGAAGUAGGUCCCAAGGGUAUGGCUGUUCGCCAUUUAAAGUGGUACGCGAGCUGGGUUUAGAACGUCGUGAGACAGUUCGGUCCCUAUCUGCCGUGGGCGCUGGAGAAUUGAGGGGGGCUGCUCCUAGUACGAGAGGACCGGAGUGGACGCAUCACUGGUGUUCGGGUUGUCAUGCCAAUGGCACUGCCCGGUAGCUAAAUGCGGAAGAGAUAAGUGCUGAAAGCAUCUAAGCACGAAACUUGCCCCGAGAUGAGUUCUCCCUGAGACUAUAAGUCUCCUGAAGGAACGUUGAAGACGACGACGUUGAUAGGCCGGGUGUGUAAGCGCAGCGAUGCGUUGAGCUAACCGGUACUAAUGAACCGUGAGGCUUAACCUUACAACGCCGAAG
RNAcentral lists this ribosomal RNA (2924 nucleotides) under Klebsiella quasipneumoniae. RNAcentral describes it as "bacterial LSU rRNA". It matches the Rfam family "Bacterial large subunit ribosomal RNA". The record is from RNAcentral. Lineage: Bacteria; Pseudomonadati; Pseudomonadota; Gammaproteobacteria; Enterobacterales; Enterobacteriaceae.